This 1074-nucleotide long non-coding RNA is filed under the name Scophthalmus maximus (turbot). Its description in RNAcentral is "lncRNA (ENSSMAG00000027010.1)". Lineage: Eukaryota; Metazoa; Chordata; Actinopteri; Pleuronectiformes; Scophthalmidae. The record is from RNAcentral.
GUGAGCCCACUGCCCAAAAACCGCUCUCCACUGGCUUCCAACGGAGGCGGUGGGACUUCCUUUUCCCGCUGGAGUUUGGCUACUGCUAGUGCAGGCAGCAGGCCUUGUCAGACCUACGAGAAUCUCGACUUCUUGUACAGAAAUCCACCUGCCAACAGCGCCCCCUCUGGAGCAUCAGGGCCACCACCGCUGCCGGCUAAAUCCAUCCAGAGAGGUCGCUCAGACCCCCAGAUUUCGGUCACAACUCAGGAAGGAAGCUCCAUCCUGAGACGUUGCUCUAACCCAGCCCGCUCCUCCGAGUCCCCAGACGCAGGCGCGACACAGCCCCCCUUCACCCAACACAGAGAACCAAGGCCAAGCUGGGCGGCCCCCUCGGUCUCCCCAAGCGCACGGAGGUCUGCCCAGGGGCCAUAGGCAGACGUGGGACGGCCAACCGGGUUCUAGUUCUGGGUCCCAAAGCAGUGUCACACCGACAUCCUCUCCGAAUCACAUAGGACCUGUCAGCUCGGAGAAGACCACGUCGUAUCGACGGACCAGCAGCGGAGGAGGCAACCAGGGGAAAUGUGGUGUGUUGUCUCCGAGCUGUGUGGGCAGCCAGGAGGAGCUGUACUGCAGUUUAUUAGGGAACGGUUCGGGCCUCACCCCAGCUCCUGCUCCAGCCCAAUCAUCGUCAUCAUCUUCAUCAUCAUCAUCAUCAUCAUCGCCUGCUGUGACCUGCGCCCCUCGACCCCGCAGGAACGCUAUGGUACAGCCACAUAUUCAAAAAACUUCUUGCCAUCAUAUCUAGCCAGUAGUUCAGGGCCUCCGUGGCACAGUCUUCAAUUUCAGAGGAGCUUUUCAUUUCUCUGGGAGAAUCAGAAAAGGCCAGUGAGAUUUCACAGUCAAUAUACUGGUGGCACACUGAGAAAUAUACUGCAUGUCUCCUCCAGGUCUCGGGCAGCCGGCCACAUCACAAGCGUGUCAAGGCUUUGGUGGACUGCCGAGCAGUCAGUUCUGAGCAGCUCGCCUUUUUCAAAGAUGAGAUCAUCGUGGUCACGGCCACUAAUGACCCCCACUGGUGGAUUGGUCAUAUAG